Molecule: non-coding RNA, 1051 nt
Organism: Peromyscus maniculatus bairdii (prairie deer mouse)
Lineage: Eukaryota; Metazoa; Chordata; Mammalia; Rodentia; Cricetidae
Source: RefSeq, a predicted model, not a curated record
CUCUGACUGAGUCUGACUUACAAUGAGGCCAAAGUGGACCCUCCCCCCUUAACCAGUGACAUAACCAACCACUGUGCUGACAGCGUUUAUGAGGCAGGUCACACCCCUCGUGCUGAGUACAGUGCGUCACAAAGCAUGGAGAGUGCUCGAUGAAAUUAACCAUCAUGCCGCUUGUCAGCUCCAUCACCACACUUUCCUGCAGCCCCCAAAGAAAGCAUGGCUUUAACAUAACUAGAACACUGAGUCCCAAGCAGGGCCACUAUAAGGAAGGCUGGGGUGGCCUGAUAAAGGCAUCACCCCUCUUUCCAGAAGGGACGCUGUGAUGGCCACUCAACCAGUUGCUGGGGUCUUUUCCACUAGCAAAGUCGUUAGCGCUCUCCCCCUGGGGGGCCAUUUUAUCAGGCCGCUAAGGGAAGGGGAAGUAAACCGGGGUCCACGGAAAGGAACUGCAAGGGCAUGGUGACAUCAGCCGUGGGAAGGGAGAGAAAGCAAGGCCACCCGCUCCAACAAGCAGAAGCCGCAAGGCUGCAGGUCCAUCUUCCAGCCCUGAGCACCGCUGCAACUGUGCUCAGCAACCAGGCAUCAGUGGGGCCUCAGAAGGGCUCAGGACGGGGUUUACUGAUGAGUAUCAUCCAACCCCCUUGAAUCUACCCAGCUUCGUAAGCCGCUCUUCAAGCAAUCUCAACCCCAGCCCAUGGGCUUCCUGGCUGAGUGAAUUAUCUUCUGGGCAAAACUGUCAUGCAGUGACAGACUGAGUGAAUCGAUGUAAACGGAAUGAGGACUGAUGUGGGUCAUAGUUACAGAGGUUUCUGACUGUGCUUUCCACCCGGAACAUCAGGGCAGGAGGACCUGGGAGCAGAAUGAUACUGUGCUGGUGCCUCAUUUCCAACCUCCCUCAUAGCCCGGUGUACCUGUGUGACAUUAACAUCUGGCCAAUGACGUACAAAUAAGAGCAUUUCAAGCCCUUCUCCAGCCCUUCAUCAUCUACUGCUGGAGAGCCAAUCUGACGGCUGGUGCUCGGGCAACCACCUUGGAACACACAGACAAGAGA